Molecule: long non-coding RNA, 264 nt
Organism: Lutra lutra (Eurasian river otter)
Lineage: Eukaryota; Metazoa; Chordata; Mammalia; Carnivora; Mustelidae
Exons: 3
Source: RefSeq, a predicted model, not a curated record
GUGCUCUUCCGAUAUAUCAACUUCUGGAGAAGAUAAAACUUGAAGAAGUUACUGGGAGCUGCUAUUUUAUAUUAUGACUGCUUUUUAAAAUUUUGUUCAUGGAUCUAAUAAAAUCUAGAUCUCUGAUAUUUUUAAGCCCAAGCCCCUUGGACACUGCAGCUCUUUUCAGUUUUUGCUUAUACACAAUUCAUUCUUUGCAGCUAAUUAAGCUGAAGAAACCUGGGAAUAAAGUUUGAAACAAGGUUAAUAAAGUUCUUUGCAUAG